This 186-nucleotide ribosomal RNA is filed under the name Triticum aestivum (bread wheat). RNAcentral describes it as "partial small subunit ribosomal RNA". Lineage: Eukaryota; Viridiplantae; Streptophyta; Magnoliopsida; Poales; Poaceae. The record is from RNAcentral.
AUGCCAAACGGAGGCCGAUUUCCGAGGAAGCUCACUGAGACCAGCAGUGACUCUGGCGCAAACGUCAAACGCCUUGAGCAAGAGACGAACAUAAAGAUCGAAAAGCUGAAGCAGCAGGCAACAAACAUCUCUCUAGAGGUGAUUCAGAUGCCUCUGAGGUGCUGGAACAUGCUCCCGUUUUCCUGA